GAGAGGGGCUGGGCAAAAGGAGGGAGAGGGUAGAGGAUGGGGAAACGCGCGCCCCAAGAGCAAAAGCAAACAGCUGUGGAGGCGCUGCCCGCGGCUCAGGCUUCCCAACAGGUUAGCUAUACUGGGAUCCACCCGGCAUUUCGCAGGAAGGGGUGGGGGGAAGACAGAGCGAGAGGGGGAGAGAGCCUCACAAGAGGACAGAGGGAGGGAGGGAAAGAG
This is an unclassified non-coding RNA of Nomascus leucogenys (northern white-cheeked gibbon), 219 nucleotides long. The record is from Ensembl. NCBI's taxonomy places the organism in Eukaryota, Metazoa, Chordata, Mammalia, Primates, Hylobatidae.